This is a non-coding RNA of Acanthosepion pharaonis, 113 nucleotides long. NCBI's taxonomy places the organism in Eukaryota, Metazoa, Mollusca, Cephalopoda, Sepiida, Sepiidae. The record is from the annotation of a GenBank genome assembly.
AUGGCCAUAUCAUAUUGAAACAUUGGAUCUCAUCUGAUUGCCAAAGUUAAGCAAUGUUGAGUUUGGUCAGUACCUAGAUGGGUGACCUGAGUGGGAAUACCAGGUUCUGUAAG